UACGGAGGGGGCUAGCGUUGUUCGGAAUUACUGGGCGUAAAGCGCACGUAGGCGGCUUUGCAAGUUAGAGGUGAAAGCCCGGGGCUCAACUCCGGAAUUUGCCUUUAAAACUGCAUCGCUAGAAUUGUGGAGAGGUAAGUGGAAUUCCGAGUGUAGAGGUGAAAUUCGUAGAUAUUCGGAAGAACACCAGUGGCGAAGGCGACUUACUGGACACAUAUUGACGCUGAGGUGCGAAAGCGUGGGGAGCAAACAGG
This 254-nucleotide ribosomal RNA is filed under the name uncultured bacterium. RNAcentral's name for it is "partial 16S ribosomal RNA". It matches the Rfam family "Bacterial small subunit ribosomal RNA", at positions 524 to 776 of the family's 1533-position model. The record is from RNAcentral.